Molecule: ribosomal RNA, 549 nt
Filed under: Escherichia coli
Lineage: Bacteria; Pseudomonadati; Pseudomonadota; Gammaproteobacteria; Enterobacterales; Enterobacteriaceae
Description: bacterial LSU rRNA
Rfam family: Bacterial large subunit ribosomal RNA
Source: RNAcentral
AAAGACCCCGUGAACCUUUACUAUAGCUUGACACUGAACAUUGAGCCUUGAUGUGUAGGAUAGGUGGGAGGCUUUGAAGUGUGGACGCCAGUCUGCAUGGAGCCGACCUUGAAAUACCACCCUUUAAUGUUUGAUGUUCUAACGUUGACCCGUAAUCCGGGUUGCGGACAGUGUCUGGUGGGUAGUUUGACUGGGGCGGUCUCCUCCUAAAGAGUAACGGAGGAGCACGAAGGUUGGCUAAUCCUGGUCGGACAUCAGGAGGUUAGUGCAAUGGCAUAAGCCAGCUUGACUGCGAGCGUGACGGCGCGAGCAGGUGCGAAAGCAGGUCAUAGUGAUCCGGUGGUUCUGAAUGGAAGGGCCAUCGCUCAACGGAUAAAAGGUACUCCGGGGAUAACAGGCUGAUACCGCCCAAGAGUUCAUAUCGACGGCGGUGUUUGGCCCCUCGAUGUCGGCUCAUCACAUCCUGGGGCUGAAGUAGGUCCCAAGGGUAUGGCUGUUCGCCAUUUAAAGUGGUACGCGAGCUGGGUUUAGAACGUCGUGAGACAGUUC